Molecule: transfer RNA, 83 nt
Filed under: Canis lupus familiaris (dog)
Lineage: Eukaryota; Metazoa; Chordata; Mammalia; Carnivora; Canidae
Also listed under: 1 other name
Rfam family: tRNA
About the family: Transfer RNA (tRNA) molecules are approximately 80 nucleotides in length. Their secondary structure includes four short double-helical elements and three loops (D, anti-codon, and T loops). Further hydrogen bonds mediate the characteristic L-shaped molecular structure. tRNAs have two regions of fundamental functional importance: the anti-codon, which is responsible for specific mRNA codon recognition, and the 3' end, to which the tRNAs corresponding amino acid is attached (by aminoacyl-tRNA synthetases). tRNAs cope with the degeneracy of the genetic code in two manners: having more than one tRNA (with a specific anti-codon) for a particular amino acid; and 'wobble' base-pairing, i.e. permitting non-standard base-pairing at the 3rd anti-codon position.
Source: Rfam by way of RNAcentral
GCCUGGGUGGCUCAACGGUUGAGCGUCUGCCUUCAGCUUAGGGCAUGAUCCCUGAGUUAUGGGAUCGAGUCCCAUACUGGGCU